AGUGAACGCUGGCGGUAGGCCUAACACAUGCAAGUCGAACGGCAGCACAGUAAGAGCUCGCUCUUACGGGUGGCGAGUGGCGGACGGGUGAGGAAUACAUCGGAAUCUACUUUUUCGUGGGGGAUAACGUAGGGAAACUUACGCUAAUACCGCAUACGACCUACGGGUGAAAGCAGGGGAUCUUCGGACCUUGCGCGAUUGAAUGAGCCGAUGUCGGAUUAGCUAGUUGGCGGGGUAAAGGCCCACCAAGGCGACGAUCCGUAGCUGGUCUGAGAGGAUGAUCAGCCACACUGGGACUGAGACACGGUCCAGACUCCUACGGGAGGCAGCAGUGGGGAAUAUUGGACAAUGGGCGCAAGCCUGAUCCAGCCAUACCGCGUGGGUGAAGAAGGCCUUCGGGUUGUAAAGCCCUUUUGUUGGGAAAGAAAAGCAGCAGGUUAAUACCCCGCUGUUCUGACGGUACCCAAAGAAUAAGCACCGGCUAACUUCGUG
Molecule: ribosomal RNA, 492 nt
Filed under: uncultured bacterium
Lineage: Bacteria
Description: partial 16S ribosomal RNA
Rfam family: Bacterial small subunit ribosomal RNA
Source: RNAcentral